GAUCAAGUGUCUUAAGGGCAAUUGGUGGAUGCCUUGGCAUGCACAGGCGAUGAAGGACGUGAUACGCUGCGAUAAGCUACGGGGAGGUGCGAAUACCCUUUGAUCCGUAGAUUUCCGAAUGGGGAAACCCACCUAAGGUGCUUGGAAAAUCAGAGCAGCCAGUGGUCGAAAGGCCGACUUGCUGCUGUGGUUUCCAAGGAUCUGUAAUAGGUAACUUAUCCUGAAUACAUAGGGAUAAAGUGGCGAACGCGGGGAACUGAAACAUCUAAGUACCCGUAGGAAAGGACAUCAACCGAGACUCCGGCAGUAGUGGCGAGCGAACCCGGACCAGGCCAGUGGCGAUGAUGAGACAAGCGGAACCUUCUGGAAAGUAGGGCCAUAGUGGGUGACAGCCCCGUACGCGUAAUGCAAAUCAUCGUCCUCGAGUAAGGCGGGACACGUGAAAUCCUGUCUGAAAUUGGGGGGACCACCCUCCAAGCCUAAGUACUCGUGCAUGACCGAUAGCGAACUAGUACCGUGAGGGAAAGGUGAAAAGCACCCCGACAAGGGGAGUGAAAGAGUACCUGAAACCGAUUGCCUACAAACAGUGGGAGUCCAAGGUUCGUCCUGGGUGACCACGUACCUUUUGUAUAAUGGGUCAGCGACUUAGUGUGACGAGCAAGCUUAAACCGCUAGGUGUAGGCGCAGCGAAAGCGAGUCUGAACAGGGCGUUCAGUUCGUCGCAUUAGACCCGAAACCGAGUGAUCUAGCCAUGAGCAGGUUGAAGGUAAGGUAACACUUACUGGAGGACCGAACCCAUAACUGUUGCAAUAGUUCGGGAUGACUUGUGGCUAGGGGUGAAAGGCCAAUCAAACUCGGAAAUAGCUGGUUCUCCGCGAAAUCUAUUUAGGUAGAGCGUCGACCGAAUACCCCAGGGGGUAGAGCACUGGAUGGGCUAGGGGUCCUCACCGGAUUACCAAACCUAACCAAACUCCGAAUACCUGGGAGUACUAGUCGGCAGACACACGGCGGGUGCUAACGUCCGUCGUGAAAAGGGAAACAACCCUGACCUACAGCUAAGGUCCCCAAGUUAUGGCUAAGUGGGAAAGGAUGUGAGGAUCCCAAAACAACCAGGAUGUUGGCUUAGAAGCAGCCAUCAUUUAAAGAAAGCGUAACAGCUCACUGGUCUAAAUAAGGGUCUUUGCGCCGAAAAUGUAACGGGGCUCAAGCCAUACACCGAAGCUUAGGGUGGCGAUAAUCCUUCGGGAUUACGCUGCGGUAGCGGAGCGUUCUGUAAGCUGAUGAAGCCAUACCCGUGAGGGGUGGUGGAGGUAUCAGAAGUGCGAAUGCUGACAUGAGUAACGUAAGGGGAGUGAGAGACUCCCCCGCCGAAAGUCCAAGGGUUCCUGCUUAAAGCUAAUCUGAGCAGGGUUAGCCGGCCCCUAAGUCGAGGCAGAAAUGCGUAGACGAUGGGAACCACGUUAAUAUUCGUGGGCCUGGAGGAAGUGACGGAUCAUUGAGGUAGUCCAAUCUUAUCGGAUUGAACGGGCUGCUGCGUGGUUCCAGGAAAUAGCUCCUCCUUAUAGACCGUACCCGAAACCGACACUGGUGGACUGGUAGAGUAUACCAAGGCGCUUGAGAGAACUAUGCUGAAGGAACUCGGCAAAUUGCACGCGUAACUUCGGAAGAAGCGUGACCCUUUUCCACGCAAGUGGAGGAGGGUGGCACAGACCAGGGGGUAGCGACUGUUUAUCAAAAACACAGGGCUCUGCGAAGUCGCAAGACGACGUAUAGGGUCUGACGCCUGCCCGGUGCUGGAAGGUUAAGAGGAGGGGUGCAAGCUCUGAAUCGAAGCCCCAGUAAACGGCGGCCGUAACUAUAACGGUCCUAAGGUAGCGAAAUUCCUUGUCGGGUAAGUUCCGACCUGCACGAAUGGCGUAACGACUUCCCCGCUGUCUCCAGCAUAGACUCAGUGAAAUUGAAUUCCCCGUGAAGAUGCGGGGUUCCUGCGGUUAGACGGAAAGACCCCGUGCACCUUUACUAUAGCUUUACAUUGGCAUUCGUAGUGGCAUGUGUAGGAUAGGUGGUAGGCUUUGAAACCUGGGCGCCAGCUCAGGUGGAGCCACCCUUGAAAUACCACCCUUAUCACUAUGGAUGUCUAACCGCGGCCCGUCAUCCGGGUCCGGGACAAUGUAUGGUGGGUAGUUUGACUGGGGCGGUCGCCUCCUAAAGAGUAACGGAGGCGCGCGAUGGUGGGCUCAGAACGGUCGGAAAUCGUUCGCUGAGUGCAAUGGCAUAAGCCUGCCUGACUGCGAGACUGACAAGUCGAGCAGAGACGAAAGUCGGUCAUAGUGAUCCGGUGGUCCCGCGUGGAAGGGCCAUCGCUCAACGGAUAAAAGGUACGCCGGGGAUAACAGGCUGAUGACCCCCAAGAGUCCAUAUCGACGGGGUUGUUUGGCACCUCGAUGUCGACUCAUCGCAUCCUGGGGCUGGAGCAGGUCCCAAGGGUAUGGCUGUUCGCCAUUUAAAGCGGUACGUGAGUUGGGUUCAGAACGUCGUGAGACAGUUCGGUCCCUAUCUGCCGUGGGUGUAGGAAUAUUGAAAGGAUCUGUCCCUAGUACGAGAGGACCGGGAUGGACGGAUCUCUGGUGGACCUGUUGUGGCGCCAGCCGCAUAGCAGGGUAGCUAUAUCCGGACGGGAUAACCGCUGAAGGCAUCUAAGCGGGAAACCCACCUUAAAACGAGUAUUCCCUGAGAACCGUGGAAGACGACCACGUUGAUAGGCCGGGUGUGGAAGAGCGGCAACGCUUGAAGCUUACCGGUACUAAUAGUUCGAUCGGCUUGAUCGUUCUCAUU
RNAcentral lists this ribosomal RNA (2835 nucleotides) under Mesorhizobium sp. RNAcentral's name for it is "23S ribosomal RNA". It matches the Rfam family "Bacterial large subunit ribosomal RNA". The record is from RNAcentral. Lineage: Bacteria; Pseudomonadati; Pseudomonadota; Alphaproteobacteria; Hyphomicrobiales; Phyllobacteriaceae.